RNAcentral lists this ribosomal RNA (1400 nucleotides) under Klebsiella sp. A12-KP8. Its description in RNAcentral is "bacterial SSU rRNA". It matches the Rfam family "Bacterial small subunit ribosomal RNA". The record is from RNAcentral. Lineage: Bacteria; Pseudomonadati; Pseudomonadota; Gammaproteobacteria; Enterobacterales; Enterobacteriaceae.
AAAGGCGUACAGGCUACCAUGCAAGUCGAGCGGUAGCACAGAGAGCUUGCUCUCGGGUGACGAGCGGCGGACGGGUGAGUAAUGUCUGGGAAACUGCCUGAUGGAGGGGGAUAACUACUGGAAACGGUAGCUAAUACCGCAUAACGUCGCAAGACCAAAGUGGGGGACCUUCGGGCCUCAUGCCAUCAGAUGUGCCCAGAUGGGAUUAGCUAGUAGGUGGGGUAACGGCUCACCUAGGCGACGAUCCCUAGCUGGUCUGAGAGGAUGACCAGCCACACUGGAACUGAGACACGGUCCAGACUCCUACGGGAGGCAGCAGUGGGGAAUAUUGCACAAUGGGCGCAAGCCUGAUGCAGCCAUGCCGCGUGUAUGAAGAAGGCCUUCGGGUUGUAAAGUACUUUCAGCGGGGAGGAAGGCGAUAAGGUUAAUAACCUUGUCGAUUGACGUUACCCGCAGAAGAAGCACCGGCUAACUCCGUGCCAGCAGCCGCGGUAAUACGGAGGGUGCAAGCGUUAAUCGGAAUUACUGGGCGUAAAGCGCACGCAGGCGGUCUGUCAAGUCGGAUGUGAAAUCCCCGGGCUCAACCUGGGAACUGCAUUCGAAACUGGCAGGCUAGAGUCUUGUAGAGGGGGGUAGAAUUCCAGGUGUAGCGGUGAAAUGCGUAGAGAUCUGGAGGAAUACCGGUGGCGAAGGCGGCCCCCUGGACAAAGACUGACGCUCAGGUGCGAAAGCGUGGGGAGCAAACAGGAUUAGAUACCCUGGUAGUCCACGCCGUAAACGAUGUCGAUUUGGAGGUUGUGCCCUUGAGGCGUGGCUUCCGGAGCUAACGCGUUAAAUCGACCGCCUGGGGAGUACGGCCGCAAGGUUAAAACUCAAAUGAAUUGACGGGGGCCCGCACAAGCGGUGGAGCAUGUGGUUUAAUUCGAUGCAACGCGAAGAACCUUACCUGGUCUUGACAUCCACAGAACUUACCAGAGAUGCUUUGGUGCCUUCGGGAACUGUGAGACAGGUGCUGCAUGGCUGUCGUCAGCUCGUGUUGUGAAAUGUUGGGUUAAGUCCCGCAACGAGCGCAACCCUUAUCCUUUGUUGCCACCGGUUCGGCCGGGAACUCAAAGGAGACUGCCAGUGAUAAACUGGAGGAAGGGGGGGAUGACGUCAAGCAUCAUGGCCCUUCCAACCAGGGGUACCCACUGGUUCAAUGGGGUUACAAAAAGAAAAGACUCCCCGAAGCAACGGACUCCUAAAUUAUUGCUUAUUCCGGAUGGGAGUUGGCACUCCCUCCCUGAAGCGGAACGCUUGAAUCUGAAUCAAAAGGACGGGAAUAAGUUCCCGCCUUGUAACCCCCGCCCCCCCCGGAAGGGGUGCAAAAAAAGAGUAACUCCGAGGUACUUGUCGGUUGG